UACGUAGGACCCAAGCGUUAUCCGGAUUGACUGGGCGUAAAGAGUUGCGUAGGUGGUUAUGCAAGCGAAUAGUGAAAUCUUGUGGCUCAACCAUAAGGCUAUUAUUCGAACUGCAUAACUCGAGAGUAGGAGAGGCAUCUGGAAUUUCCAAUGUAGGGGUAAUAUCCGUAGAUAUUGGGAGGAACACCAAUGGCGUAAGCAGGAUGCUGGACUAUUUCUGACACUAAGGCACGAAAGCGUGGGGAGCGAACCGG
Molecule: ribosomal RNA, 254 nt
Filed under: uncultured bacterium
Lineage: Bacteria
Description: partial 16S ribosomal RNA
Rfam family: Bacterial small subunit ribosomal RNA
Source: RNAcentral